AUUGAACGCUGGCGGCAGGCCUAACACAUGCAAGUCGAGCGUGAAAGUUCUUCGGAAUGAGUAAAGCGGCGGACGGGUGAGUAACGCGUAGGAAUCUGCCCUGAAGUGGGGGAUAACUUGGGGAAACUCAAGCUAAUACCGCAUAGACCUGAGGGUGAAAGAUGGGGAUGUUCGGACCUAUCGCUUCAGGAGGAGCCUGCGUCGGAUGAGGUGGUUGGUAGCGUAAAGGCAUACGAAGGUGACGAGCCGUAGCUGUUCUGAGAGGAUGACCAGUGAGACGGGAGCUGGGACGCGGCCGAGACUGCUGAGGGAGGCAGAAGUGGGGAAUAUUGGAGAAUGAGCGAAAGCGUGAUCGAGCAAUGCCGAGUGUGUGAAGAAGGCUCUAGGGUUGUAAAGCACUUUAAGUUGUGAGGAAGUGACGGUUGUAAAGAAUGACGGUCAUUGACGUUAGCAACAGAAUAAGCACCGGCUAACUCCGUGCCAGCCGCCGCGGUAA
This 496-nucleotide ribosomal RNA is filed under the name uncultured bacterium. RNAcentral's name for it is "partial 16S ribosomal RNA". It matches the Rfam family "Bacterial small subunit ribosomal RNA", at positions 29 to 523 of the family's 1533-position model. The record is from RNAcentral.